RNAcentral lists this long non-coding RNA (1486 nucleotides) under Homo sapiens (human). RNAcentral describes it as "non-protein coding lnc-TTC33-5:7". Lineage: Eukaryota; Metazoa; Chordata; Mammalia; Primates; Hominidae. The record is from RNAcentral.
GCCCAGACUGCGGGCUGCGCUUGGUCGGGCACCCCAGGCAAAAAAGAAAAAAAAAAAAGAGAAAGAAAGAGGAGGAGACAGUGAUUGCAGCCUCUCCCGGCGCAGGUGGCAGAGCCUUGCGGCUUUGGAGAGAGGUGGAGCCUUGGUGAGGUUGGGAGGACUGCCUAACUGCGAUCUUUUUCUCCAUUCUUCCUCCUGGGAACUUCUCCGCCCUGAAAGGGUAGCGUGAGCUUCAUGCCUUCGGCCGGCCGUGUUAUACUCGUUAGACCCAAUUCACCAUGAAUCCUUUGAAAGACUAGUGGAGAGUGAGAAGGGGGUUUCAAAGUCACUGGAGUAAAGGAAUUCUCCAAGCACCACCUCAUGAUUAAUUCUUGGAAAAGCCUGUUUGCGCGGCCCUUAGAAUCAUUUUGACUUCUUGUCUAAUGGUGAAGUUUUUCUCUGUAAUCCUUCUACUCUGUUUUCUAAAACCAGAACUAAAAACCUAAAAAAUUGUAAAACUUCAUGGUGUAAUUAAAACCCCUUCACCAUUUUUUUUAAGUAAGAUUGUGUGGCCUUAUUGCACAAUUUAAAUUCCUGGAAAAACCUCUUCCCAUCUGCAGUGUACAAGCAUUCUAACAUAUUAUGUCUCCUCACAGGGUGUUUCCGCUUUUGCUUCCUCCUCAUUGUCUCUUGCCACCGUCAUGUAAGAAGUGCCUUUCACCCUCCUGCCAUGAUUCUGAGGCCUCCCAGCCAUGUGGAACUGAGACCUUAAGAUAGAAAAACUGCCAGGAGGGACCUGUAGGUCUGCUUUCUCCACUCAUGUUUGGAGAACACGUCUCCAAAGAAAUUCAUCUGAACUUGAUGCAGAGAUUCCUGGACUAGAUUCCUGAGAAAUCUAAUGUCAGCUACAGAAAUGCCCCAACUGAUGAAUUUCGUCAUGAAGCAGAGCCUCAGAGCAAAAGCACAUCAGCUAAGCAUGCCCCAGUAUGAGUGGCUGAGUAUGCCAUAUUAGUCUUUCAUAGUCUACCAUAGAAGACUUUCAAUUUUUUGCUUCAUACUACUUAAAAUAAUGUAGAAAAAUCUAUGUAGUUCUUUCACAUUAAGUUAACAGCUAAAAUUUUUUACUCUAAGUUUAAUUUGUUGAAAAUGAUGCAAUAUCAGUCUAAUUGUAAAUAUUAACAUUAAAACAAACUAUUGAAUCACUUUAAUACUUUUUCAAUGGAAUCUUAAUACAAUAACAAUUCAAUGGCCACAAUAUUUAAUUGAAAAAUACGUGGACAAGGUCAUUUUAAUAGUCAGAAAUUUUCUACCAUCUAUAUUUUUCUUCCUGAGUCCAUUUCCAUUCAACUUCUCUGUAAAGAUUUUUAAUUGAAUAUAAUAUUUUUGUUCCUGAAUAUCUUAUAUUGAUCAGAUAUAUUUUACUAUAAAAAUUAUGUAUAUGAAUUGAAAUUUUACAUUAAUUUUUUUCUGUGAUGUUUCUAAGUAAUAAAAAUUUAUUCUGAAUAGA